This 348-nucleotide unclassified non-coding RNA is filed under the name soil metagenome. RNAcentral's name for it is "partial contains 5.8S ribosomal RNA, internal transcribed spacer 2, and large subunit ribosomal RNA". The stretch from base 1 to 120 matches the Rfam family "5.8S ribosomal RNA", at positions 35 to 154 of the family's 154-position model. The record is from RNAcentral.
GAUGAAGAACGCAGCGAAAUGCGAUAAGUAAUGUGAAUUGCAGAAUUCAGUGAAUCAUCGAGUCUUUGAACGCACAUUGCGCCCCCUGGUAUUCCGGGGGGCAUGCCUGUCCGAGCGUCAUUGCGGCCCUCAAGCACGGCUUGUGUGUUGGGCCCCCGUCCCCGGUUUCCCCCGGGGACGGGCCCGAAAGGCAGCGGCGGCACCGCGUCCGGUCCUCGAGCGUAUGGGGCUUUGUCACCCGCUCUGUAGGCCCGGCCGGCGCCAGCCGACACCCAACUUUAUUUCUAAGGUUGACCUCGGAUCAGGUAGGGAUACCCGCUGAACUUAAGCAUAUCAAUAAGCGGAGGA